AUGCGGAAGCGCGACCUCGGCGUCCUCCUCCUCGCCGCCUUCGCCGUCUUCUUCUCCCUCCAGCACGAGGGCGACUUCUCGUUCCGGGAGGCGUGGUACCACCUGUCGGACGACGGGUUCCCCAUCAAGCACGACGCGGACCGCCUCCCGCCGCCGCUCGUCGCCGACCUCAACGGCGACGGCCGCCGCGAGAUGCUCCUCCCCACCCACGACGCCAAGAUCCAGGUCCUCCAGCUCCCCACCCACCCCAGGCUCGCCACCACCACCCUCGACGGCUUCCACGAGGCGCGCGUCAUGGCCGAGAUCUCCCUGCUCCCGGCCAACGUGCGCGUCGCCGCCGGCCGCCGCCCCGUCGCCAUGGCCGUCGGCGCCGUCGACCGCUCCUACAAGCACGCCGAGGUCCGCAAGCAGGUGCUCGUCGUCGUCACCUCCGGAUGGGCCGUCAUGUGCUUCGACCACAACCUCAAGAAGCUCUGGGAGACGAGCCUCGGGGACGACUUCCCCCACGCCGCGCACCACCGCGAGGUCGCCGUCUCCGUCACCAACUACACGCUCAAGCACGGCGACGCCGGCCUCGUCAUCGUCGGCGGGAGGAUGGAGAUGCAGCACCAUUCCGCAGAUCUCUUCGACGACUUCAUGACCUCCGAACACGGCAGGGAAGAGCACCGCAGAAGCGCCAGCGAGAAACAGGCUUCAGAGGCUGGCAACGUAGACGUGCGUCAUUUUGCGCUUUAUGCCUUCUCUGGCCGCACCGGUGCGUUAAGAUGGAGCCGGAAGAAUGAGAACAUCCAGGCACAGCCAACAGAUGCUUCGGCGAUGAUACCACAACAUAAUUACAAGCUUGAUGUUCACGCCCUUAAUAGCCGUCAUCCUGGUGAGUAUGAAUGCCGGCAAUUCAGAGAAUCAAUUCUUGGCGUCAUGCCUCACCAUUGGGAUAGGAGAGAGGAUACUUUUCUACAACUUGCACAUUUUAGGAAGCAUAAAAGGAAAGAAUUAAAGAAAACACAAGGAAAAAACGUUGUUAAUAACGUGCACAAGCCUGCUGAACACAAUCCACUCGGAAAGGAUGAUACUAAUAGAAUAUCCAAAGUGAUUGGGAAAGCUGCAGAUCUGGCUGGCUCAGCUAAAGGCAAAAAGUCUCUGCACACAGUUUAUAUUCCUACAAUCACUAAUUAUACUCAAGUUUGGUGGGUUCCCAAUGUUGUUGUUGCACAUGAAAAGGAAGGGGUAGAGGCUAUUCAUCUAGCUUCUGGACGUACGCUUUGCAAGCUUCAUUUGACAGAAGGAGGCCUUCAUGCAGAUAUUAAUGGAGAUGGAGUUCUUGAUCAUGUUCAGGUUGUCGGUGGAAAUGGUGCUGAGCAAACUGUUGUUAGCGGGUCCAUGGAGGUGCUGAAACCCUGUUGGGCAGUUGCUACAUCCGGUGUACCAGUGCGGGAGCAACUUUUCAAUGUUUCUAUCUGCCAUUACAACCAUCUCAACCUGUUCCAUCAUGGUGACUUCUCAAGAAGUUUUGGGAGGUCAUUUGAUCCAUCUGGCUUAGAGGUGGCAACCCCAGUUCUGCUCGAGAGGGAUGAUGGUCAUAAACACAGAAGAGGAAGUCAUGGCGAUAUCAUCUUUCUAACAAGCAGGGGCGAGGUGACCUCGUACACCCCAGGCCUACUUGGUCACGAUGCGAUGUGGAGAUGGCAGCUAUCGACGGGCGCGACAUGGUCCAACCUCCCAUCUCCAUCAGGGAUGAUGGAGAACGUGGUGGUUCCUACUCUCAAGACCUUCUCCCUGAGAGCCUAUGACCCAAAGCAGGUGAUCAUUGCGGGCGGAGACCAGGAGGCCGUGGUGAUUUCUCCUGAUGGUAGCCUGCUGACGUCCAUUGACCUCCCCGCGCCUCCGACCCACGCGCUGAUCCUCGAGGAUUUCUCCGGCGACGGUCUGACCGACGUCAUCCUGGUGACGUCCGGGGGAGUGUACGGGUUUGUGCAGACGAGGCAGCCCGGGGCCCUCUUCUUCAGCACGCUCGUCGGCUUCUUGAUUGUCGUGAUCGGGGUGAUCUUUGUCUCUCUGCACCUCAACUCGUCGAACGGUGCUAAACCGAGGUCGACCAGCCAAAGAUGA
This 2109-nucleotide ribosomal RNA is filed under the name Triticum aestivum (bread wheat). RNAcentral's name for it is "partial small subunit ribosomal RNA". Lineage: Eukaryota; Viridiplantae; Streptophyta; Magnoliopsida; Poales; Poaceae. The record is from RNAcentral.